This 21-nucleotide non-coding RNA is filed under the name Arabidopsis thaliana (thale cress). Lineage: Eukaryota; Viridiplantae; Streptophyta; Magnoliopsida; Brassicales; Brassicaceae. The record is from RNAcentral.
UUGUGUUGGCCUUCGGGAUCG